GUAAAAGUCACCGGCUCGGCCCGCUCCACUUCCCAAACACGCUUCUAGUCAGAAACAACAGCGUUCAAGGAAAGCAAUUCGUUUCGUCGGCAUGUUGCGGAUCCGUGGCCAUUUCCAGCCUUCACAGCCACAGAUGUUGGAUCAGAUGUAGGUAGCCUACAUACACAGCAGUUGCUUUCCAGAUGAAGCGAUCUUUAACAGACAUCUUGAAGAUGUGCGCGUGCUAUCUGGGACAGACAGAAAGAGAAGCUGGUCACUGAUCUCACCCUUUCACUCAACCUUUGAUCCCAGCCAUGAGUCAUACACACAGUCAUGUGAGAGAUAUAUAUUAGAGAACGCAGCUACUGUUUGUCACAAACGGAGGCUCUUACUAAUAAAAAAAUACAACAACA
Carassius gibelio (silver crucian carp) is the source of this 392-nucleotide long non-coding RNA. RefSeq lists it as uncharacterized. NCBI's taxonomy places the organism in Eukaryota, Metazoa, Chordata, Actinopteri, Cypriniformes, Cyprinidae. The record is from RefSeq and is a predicted model, not a curated record. The transcript has 3 exons.